CAGCAGCCACGGGAACACGAAGGGUGCAAGCGUUAAUCGGAUUUACUGGGCGUAAAGCGUGCGUAGGCGGCUUCUUAAGUCGGAUGUGAAAUCCCUGAGCUUAACUUAGGAAUUGCAUUCGAUACUGGGAAGCUAGAGUAUGGGAGAGGAUGGUAGAAUUCCAGGUGUAGCGGUGAAAUGCGUAGAGAUCUGGAGGAAUACCGAUGGCGAAGGCAGCCAUCUGGCCUAAUACUGACGCUGAGGUACGAAAGCAUGGGGAGCAAACAGGAUUAGAUACCCCCGUAGUCCCUGUCUCUUAUAC
RNAcentral lists this ribosomal RNA (301 nucleotides) under uncultured bacterium. RNAcentral's name for it is "partial 16S ribosomal RNA". It matches the Rfam family "Bacterial small subunit ribosomal RNA", at positions 509 to 807 of the family's 1533-position model. The record is from RNAcentral.